This 1247-nucleotide long non-coding RNA is filed under the name Anas platyrhynchos platyrhynchos (common mallard). RNAcentral describes it as "lncRNA (ENSAPLG00000028973.1)". The record is from RNAcentral. Lineage: Eukaryota; Metazoa; Chordata; Aves; Anseriformes; Anatidae.
AACUCCUGCUUUUGUUAAAUUCUUCCCAGGGGAAACCUGCCUUUUUUUUCCGUGACUCUAUUCUUAUUUUUUUCGUUACGGAUUUUAAUAGGCUUCUGGCUUUGCUAUAGAUAACAGUAGACAGGAGCACGCCGUGGGCCUGUGAGCUGAAUUCAGUGACGACAUUUGUGUGUCAGCCAUGGUACUGGGGAAACGUUCUCAUUCUGGAGAGCAGGGAACAGGGAUGUUCAACACAGGAAGGCUGCUAUUCUGUUGGAACUCAUCCUUCCUUGUCCUUUUUUCAAACACGGCCUCUUCUGAGCAGUCAAUGGGACAGGGACAGGCAGUGCAUGCGGUCAGGGGGCAGCAGCACCAGCGGCCACGUCCCACCACCCAGCCAUGACCACAGCUGCCAACUACCACCAGAUGAGAUGAUAAAAAAAUCAUCACAGUUGUGCCCAGGAUGUUGCCAGCCUUCUGUUCUUGAGCAUCUCUGCACAUCAGCUGCCACACAAGGAGUAACCAGCCCUCAUUCUCCAAUGGCCACAGAGCAGAAACAGUGUGACAGCACUGCAACCAGUGGAAAAGGCUGGGAUUUCAAGUAUUUUUGUUUGACUUGGCUGCAGAAAUCAAAUUUAAGAAAAAUGGAAAGAACAUUUUAUUUCAUCUUCAUUCUAUAUCAUUUGAUUUUGAUAAGACUGAAAUAGUUUCAUUUUGAAGAGUUCAUAGUGUUACCUUUGGAUUGCCUUUUCCAAUGCAUUGACUUUCAGGUGGCACAUGCACUUACACCUUUGCUGAAGGCUUGGACUCCACCUGCUCUGUGUUUCCCAAUGAAAAACAAGUCUACUAGAACAUUUUGAACAAACUUUGCUAGACAGGAAAUGUAUGUUCAAGAUUAAACCAAUGAUAUAGGAAGAAUUUAUCUCUACUAGUAUCUAUCCAUGGCAGGAGUAUCUCAGUUUGCAUGAGGGAUUUUAACCUGACUGCUAGGACACUUAGAAUUAGAACAGUUCAGUUGGAAGGGACCUGCAAAGCUCACCUAGUCCAUCUGCCUGACUUCUCCAGGGUGAACCAAAAGUUAAAGCAUGUUAUUAAGGACAUUGUACAAAUGCCCCUUGAAUACUGACAGGCACAGGGCAUCAAGCACCUCACUAGAAAGCCUGUUCCAGUGUUUGAACACCCUCUUGGCAGAGAUAUUUUUCCUAAUAUCCACUCUGAUCUAGUUAGUAGAAAAACAAAUGACAAUAAAACAUGGAAAACAUAUAUCA